Molecule: unclassified non-coding RNA, 330 nt
Filed under: uncultured delta proteobacterium
Lineage: Bacteria; Deltaproteobacteria
Description: contains 16S-23S intergenic spacer region
Source: RNAcentral
UCCGGCUUAACGCCGGCAGUCUCCCUAGAGUGCCCAACUGAAUGGUGGCAACUAAGGACGAGGGUUGCGCUCGUUGCGGGACUUAACCCAACACCUCACGGCACGAGCUGACGACAGCCAUGCAGCACCUGAACCAGCGGUCCCCGAAGGGAAAGUCCUAUUUCUAGGAAGGUCCGCUGUUGUCUAGUCCAGGUAAGGUUCUUCGCGUUGCGUCGAAUUGAACCACAUGCUCCACCGCUUGUGCGGGCCCCCGUCAAUUCCUUUGAGUUACAUGCUCUCACAAGACUGCUGGUGGCAAGCCAGAGGAAGGUGGGGAUGACGUUAGGAUAG